CUACGGAGGGUGCAAGCGUUAAUCGGAAUUACUGGGCGUAAAGCGUUCGUAGGCGGUUUGUUAAGUUAGAUGUGAAAGCCCCGGGCUCAACCUGGGAACUGCAUUUAAAACUGGCAAACUCGAGUUUAGGAGAGGGAAGUGGAAUUUCAGGUGUAGCAGUGAAAUGCGUAGAGAUCUGAAGGAACACCAGUGGCGAAGGCGACUUCCUGGACUAAAACUGACGCUGAGGAACGAAAGCGUGGGUAGCAAACGGGAUUAGAAACCCCUGUAGUCC
This 274-nucleotide ribosomal RNA is filed under the name uncultured bacterium. RNAcentral's name for it is "partial 16S ribosomal RNA". It matches the Rfam family "Bacterial small subunit ribosomal RNA", at positions 523 to 796 of the family's 1533-position model. The record is from RNAcentral.